This 271-nucleotide long non-coding RNA is filed under the name Elaeis guineensis (African oil palm). RNAcentral describes it as "long non-coding RNA (EGUI_LNC015419)". Lineage: Eukaryota; Viridiplantae; Streptophyta; Magnoliopsida; Arecales; Arecaceae. The record is from RNAcentral.
AAUAUGAUUGUGAGCUAUCAUACUAUCUUCUUAAAAAAUAAUUUAUCCAAGAUAGAGAUAGUGGGAGGAUAAGCUCAAAGGGAGAGUGAUAAGUAUAAUAAAUAUCUCAAUAACAGCAUCAAAAUACAUCUUAAUUAAUCUUUAUUCUUUAAGAAUUGAUACUUUUACUUGUAUUUUGUAGGAAAGAAGAUUAUGAAUGCAAAGAGCUCGAUUUGUAGAUUCAAAGAAAAAAAAUUGGGAACAAAUCAGAUUCAGUUUGGAUCCUGAAUGA